AGCUAAUAGAUACCCCGGUAGUCCACGCCCUAAACGAUGUCUACUAGUUGUUGGUGGAGUAAAAUCCAUGAGUAAACGCAGCUAAACGCGUGAAGUAGACCGCCUGGGGAGUACGGUCGCAAGAUUAAAACUCAAAGGAAUUGACGGGGGCCCGGCACAAGCGGUGGAUUAUGUGGAUUAAAUUCGAUGCAACGCGAAAAACCUUACCUGGCCUUGACAUGCCACUAACGAAGCAGAGAUGCAUUAGGUGCCCGUAAGGGAAAGUGGACACAGGUGCUGCAUGGCUGUCGUCAGCUCGUGUCGUGAGAUGUUGGGUUAAGUCCCGCAACGAGCGCAACCCUUGCCAUUAAUUGCCAUCAUUUAGUUGGGCACUUUAAUGGGGACUGCCGGUGACAAACCGGAGGAAGGUGGGGAUGACGUCAAGUCCUCAUGGCCCUUAUGGCCAGGGCUUCACACGUAAUACAAUGGUCGGUACAGAGAGUUG
RNAcentral lists this ribosomal RNA (484 nucleotides) under uncultured bacterium. RNAcentral describes it as "bacterial SSU rRNA". It matches the Rfam family "Bacterial small subunit ribosomal RNA", at positions 774 to 1249 of the family's 1533-position model. The record is from RNAcentral.